RNAcentral lists this small RNA (253 nucleotides) under Carlito syrichta (Philippine tarsier). Its description in RNAcentral is "7SK RNA (ENSTSYG00000024703.2)". It matches the Rfam family "7SK RNA". Rfam says of the family: 7SK was discovered as an abundant small nuclear RNA in the mid-70s but a possible function has only recently been suggested. The record is from Rfam by way of RNAcentral. Lineage: Eukaryota; Metazoa; Chordata; Mammalia; Primates; Tarsiidae.
AGAUGAUUUGGCUUUGACAUCUGUCACUCUUUUGUCAGCAGGGUUGAUGAACUCAAUUGGCUACCUGAGAAGGUGGCACCAUGUUCCCUCCACGUGUGGACUUAUUCAAGCCAUACACUAAGGCAAAGCAGUUGAGCUUCUAAGCUCGGUCUUUUUCUCUUCCCUCAAUCUGGGGUAUCUGAAUAGCUGAGUUAUUUUAGUAUUAAAUCUGAAUAUGGAAAGGCAGUUUGAAGCAGUCAAAAUACUGAUUUUU